RNAcentral lists this ribosomal RNA (236 nucleotides) under uncultured bacterium. RNAcentral's name for it is "partial 16S ribosomal RNA". It matches the Rfam family "Bacterial small subunit ribosomal RNA", at positions 100 to 334 of the family's 1533-position model. The record is from RNAcentral.
CGGCACGGGUGAGUAACACGUAUCCAACCUGCCGUCUACUCUUGGACAGCCUUCUGAAAGGAAGAUUAAUACAAGAUGGCAUCAUGAGUCCGCAUGUUCACAUGAUUAAAGGUAUUCCGGUAGACGAUGGGGAUGCGUUCCAUUAGAUAGUAGGCGGGGUAACGGCCCACCUAGUCUUCGAUGGAUAGGGGUUCUGAGAGGAAGGUCCCCCACAUUGGAACUGGGACACGGUCCAA